CCUUCCCUUUCCUUUCUUAUUUUCGGUUUUUGCUCUCUUUUUAAGUGUAUAAGUGUUUUGUAAAAUGAAAGAAAUCUUUCUAUGGCAAUGGAUAUGGAUGUAUUUAUAUAUAUAUAAAGAUAAGGAUAAAAACUUGAUAUUUUUUUCUUGUUUUCUCUUCUCCACCGCCUCAACCCCUUUUCUCCCAUUUUUUCUUUUUUUUUUCUUGCUUGUACACAUGUUUAGUCUAUUAUCUAAGUGUAUGGUGAUGAUGGAUGACAAGUGGGUUGAUUAUAGGGUAAUAAGUGGCCUCAAAACCUAG
This 301-nucleotide long non-coding RNA is filed under the name Olea europaea (common olive). Its description in RNAcentral is "long non-coding RNA (OEUR_LNC015311)". Lineage: Eukaryota; Viridiplantae; Streptophyta; Magnoliopsida; Lamiales; Oleaceae. The record is from RNAcentral.